CUUGCUUCCUACCCCGCGCUUGAGUUUCUCCCCGCUUGGAUGCUCUCAGGGGCAGUGUGAAGAGAGACAAUUCCUGGCUUCCUUAGAGGGCCUUGUUCUCCUUGGCAGAAGCUCAAGUCCUGAUUCCCGCCCUUCCUUCUCGUUUUAGGAAUAUUGUUCUGAGAAGCCACAGAAAAGGGUAUGGGCUUAUUUUGCCAAAGAAAACACAGCAGUUGCACCCUGUUUUGCAAAAACCAUCAGUGUUUGGGAAUGAUUCUGAUGAUGAUGAUGAGUGUAUAUCCAGUACUGGUGUUUAAAGGAAAGUUAUUAAAGUUUGGAAUAAGAGUACUUGAAUUGGAAUCUUGCUUUGCCAUUCACCAGCUGUUUGUCCUUAAAUUCUCUCAGGUUUUUGGCAUUUUAAUCGUCAUCCUUAGUAGUCAUUGUUAAAGUAACUUUAUUUAGAAAAUUGAGAAUUAAAUGACCUUCAAAAGAUCAUCAGUCUUUCCUGACUUUUUGAGACCUCUGUGAGUGAAAGCCUUCAGAGGGAAGCUGCUAAAAAGCAGGCCAUG
Molecule: small RNA, 548 nt
Filed under: Pongo abelii (Sumatran orangutan)
Lineage: Eukaryota; Metazoa; Chordata; Mammalia; Primates; Hominidae
Description: retained intron
Source: RNAcentral